RNAcentral lists this ribosomal RNA (446 nucleotides) under uncultured bacterium. RNAcentral's name for it is "partial 16S ribosomal RNA". It matches the Rfam family "Bacterial small subunit ribosomal RNA", at positions 338 to 795 of the family's 1533-position model. The record is from RNAcentral.
CCUACGGGUGGCAGCAGUAGGGAAUUUUCGGCAAUGGGCGCAACCCUGACCGAGCAACGCCGCGUGAACGAAGAAGGUAUUCGUAAUGUAACGUUCUUUUAACAGGGAAGAAAGAGAAAUUUGACGGUACCUGAAGAAUAAGCUCCGGCUAACUACGUGCCAGCAGCUCCGGGAAUACGUAGGUAGGGAGCGUUAUCCGGAAUUAUUGAUCGUAAAGGGUACGUAGAUGGCAUAGUAAGUCUUUUGUAAAAAUGCUGGGCUAAACCCAGUAGGGCAAAAGAUACUGCAAAGCUAGAGUAUGACAGAGGCAAGUGGAAGUACAUGUGUAGCAGUAAAAUGCGUAAAUAUAUGUAAGAACACCAGUGGCGAAGGUGGCUUGCUGGGUCGAUACUGACAUUGAGGCACGAAAGCGUGGGGAGCAAACAGGAUUAGAUACCCCUGUAGUC